Molecule: long non-coding RNA, 233 nt
Filed under: Brassica napus (rape)
Lineage: Eukaryota; Viridiplantae; Streptophyta; Magnoliopsida; Brassicales; Brassicaceae
Description: long non-coding RNA (BNAP_LNC012438)
Source: RNAcentral
ACGGGUAAGAAAGAGGUCCAAAAGACCCAACGAUGCAGGAACAUCUGGAGCAGGAGACGAGGAGUAGGAGCUAUCACCGGCCAGUAUUGCCAUUUGAAUUCCGACCGCGCUAUUUUAUUUUAUUUUCUAUUCUAACGUUUUAUGGUCUUAUUUUCUAUUAAUUUUGAACUUAGUUUUUUUUAUUUUUUUUCUUAAUUAUGAGUUCGUAUUUCUUUUACAUGGUUUCUUUGUUU